Molecule: ribosomal RNA, 207 nt
Filed under: uncultured bacterium
Lineage: Bacteria
Description: partial 16S ribosomal RNA
Rfam family: Bacterial small subunit ribosomal RNA
Source: RNAcentral
CUCGUAGGCGGUUCGUCGCGUCCGGUGUGAAAGUCCAUCGCUUAACGGUGGAUCUGCGCCGGGUACGGGCGGGCUGAAGUGCGGUAGGGGAGACUGGAAUUCCCGGUGUAACGGUGGAAUGUGUAGAUAUCGGGAAGAACACCAAUGGCGAAGGCAGGUCUCUGGGCCGUUACUGACGCUGAGGAGCGAAAGCGUGGGGAGCGAACA